Long non-coding RNA from Drosophila simulans, 2035 nucleotides. RefSeq lists it as uncharacterized. The transcript has 2 exons. Lineage: Eukaryota; Metazoa; Arthropoda; Insecta; Diptera; Drosophilidae. The record is from RefSeq and is a predicted model, not a curated record.
CGGCAGGGUAACCUCAAUGCUCCUAAUGUUAUUAUUAGCAAUUAGACUGUACAAGAUCCACACAAUCUUUCCGAGAGCAAGGCACAGUACAAGUUGAAGGAAUCGAUGCAAUACGUAAAACCUGGAACAGCCAUGAAUGUGUCCCAGGAUUCCUUGAAAAGGAACACCCGCAUUCCGGACAAGAUGCGACUGUAGUACUCCUCCCAGUUAAGAGUGGCCAUGUCGAAGGGAAAUAUACUCCUGUCCUCCGGCGACAUGGAAUCCCAUAAUUGGUUGGUAUUCUUCAUAUCCAUCUCGUACGUUUUUCCAUUGAAGGGAAACAGAAGCAAAAGUGCUUCGUGGAUCUUUUGAUAGCUCCUCAUCAGAAUGGGCUUUUUGCCUUGGAUACGUAGGAGGAGAUCGAAGAAGAAACCAGGAAUCAGAUGAUAGAAUAUGCACCCCAGCUUAAACAACCAAGGGCAGGUGGUAAAGUGGGCAAAUGGAUACCAAAUCGUUUUGGUCACCGGAAUCUUAUGGUUAUGAGCGAUGCCCAACUUGACCGCUUCCCCAAAGGUGAUGGAAUUUGACUUGGCUGUGGCGAGUGUAUAGAUGGGCGGCGGCUUCUGCACCGCCAACUGAGAGGACGAAGGCGAUUCGGAAUUCUUUGCCACCUGCCAUCCGGAAGCCAGCGCCACGUUGGCACAAUAGUCGCCAGGAACUACUAAAGCAUCGGCCUUAGGAUUGACAUACAACAGGCGAAGGAUCCCAUGGGCAUUGCCGUAUAUCAAGGCUACGAUUCCGUGAAGGUUGUCAAUCCAUCCAGACAUCGGCUCCUUGAAAUUUGCCAAAACUGCAAGGCACAAAGAUGAUAAUGUUAACUAAUGACCUGACCUCAAACUUUCUUCUUUCUAUUUGUCGGAGCCAACUAAAUCACUUACUUAUCGCAGGACGAAAGACGCAGAUAGGCAGGUCCUGACCCUCCAUCUGGAUCACCUGCUCGGCCAGUGCCUUGGUAUAGGUAUAGGUGUUCGGAAACUUUCCCAUCAGAGCCGGAGCCAUUUUGUCCAUCAGAUCUGGGCUCAAAGUCUCGUUGAAUUCGAGCACCUUGGCCGCCGGGCACGAUAGGUGCUCCGGAUAGAAACGCUCCUCAAUAUGCUGCGAGGGGCAGUUGGAGAAGGCCGUGGAGAUGUGGACGAAGGCUUUCAAGCCUUUCAUCUCCUUGGCAAGCUGAAUCAAUAGGCGCGUUGCACGCGUAUUGAUAUUCAAAGCCCUGUGAAGCGGCUCCACGAAGCGAAUGGAGGCGGCACUGUGGAUGAUCACCUGCACAUCAGCGGUCACCAUCCUGCGAUCCCCGUCGCUGAGACCCAGACCGGGUUCGCUGCAGUCUCCCGAAAUGGGUGUCACCAAGUUCAGGGCCUCCGGCUUAGCCUUAAGUAGGGUCUCAAAAACCUGAAAAAGAUCAUCAUUCAACCCGAAUUAAUAUCAUACGAAUAUGGAAGUCACUACAGGAUGGGAUCAUCAUCUUCUUGGACUCACCGGCUCAUCUUUCCAGGCCUGGAAUCGUCCUUCCACAGUGUCAUUCUUUUUGGGCCUAACUAAUAGAUAAACUCGCCUUACAUCCGUUGAACGCAGGAGCUUUUCAAUGAUCACUGAAAUUUGGAUUAUAACAUAUUUUAGUUUUGGAUUUACUAUCUACAGAUAUAUAAACUUGUUAUAUAGCUUUACCUUUUCCCAGAAAUCCUGUGCCUCCGGUUACAAAAACCGAUUUGUCUCUGUAAAACUGCAAUAUGUCAGUCUGCAUUUUGGAUUGAAAUGAUAUUGGUUCUGUCGGCUCGCCUACAACAAUGAGCAGUGCUUUCACUCUUUAUUCCAUUUAUAAUCGAAUGCUAAUGAUCUGUUUGUGUCCACCAAUGGGCUUCAAUUAUUCAAUCUGUUACAUUUUGUAUUUGAUUACUUAAUUGAAAUACGAAGGUGGAAAACCGAUGGAAUUGAUCGGUUCGAAAACAUAUUGUAAGGGUUAGUUUUCUUGAACGGAAUUUAAUUAAAAGAAUAUAUA